AUAACAUGAUUGUCUCUAAAGAAUUGUCGAGUUAUAAACCAAGGUUUUGUUAGAUCUAGAAAAAAAUUAUCUUCCUAUUUCAGAGACUGCCUUCCCGGAGAUUCUGUAUGGAUAAUGUGGAUGUAUCAGUUAAUAGGGCGUGGGUUCAUCUUUGUGGCUGUCUGUGCUAAAAGCGUUGUUUCAAAACCAACCGGUGUAUGUAAAUCAAAUUUUACAGAUAGAAUGGAAUGCUGUUCUGAUUUCGUGUUGGAGGACGGCAUAUGUGCACGAAGUGAAUGCAGAUCGAGGUCAAAUUAACGUCGGAGGCCCUGUUGUUUAGAAUUGGAAACUCUGAGCAUAGAUUGAUCAUACAUGAUGAGUAUUUACUCAAGGAAUUACAUUUCAUGCCCAGAUAUGUUGGGCCCAAUCCGUCUUUGCUCCAACCAUCACAAACUGACAAACGGAUGGUGACCGUGAUACUGAUAGUAACAGCUGAGUAAGGCUACAUGUACCCCCAUCAUCACUGAAAGGCAACCGGGAUGCAGUCUUUAAAUCUGGAGUUCUGGGCAGAACUGUGCAUUUCUGGAACAAUGAUGAGUUUAAGUGAAAUGGUAAUUUGUCAUGAAUUUCUACAGUGGCUACAUGUACCCUGACCAUCUUUGAAAGGCAACCGGGAUACAGUGCAGUCUUUAUCUGGAAUUCUUGGCAGAACUGGACAUUCCUGGAACAAUGAUCAAUUCAAGUGAAACAGACUCGGGUGCAAGCAGAAAUUCUUGUAAUUACAGAAUGUAUUCCUUAAGAGAGGCAACAUGUGACCUGAAAACAAUUCUAUUCAGAUCUAUUUAAGGAAUGAAUUCAGUAUCUAAUUCAUCCAAGUAUAUACUGGGUUUGGGCAGUUUGCGCUUUUUUAAACUGCUAAGUGGUUUAUGAAAAAGCACAUUUUUGAACUUGCAAAAGAAAUCAGACCAACUGCUGAUAUACGUGGUUUUCAGUGAGUUAAUCAACGAUUAUCUAUGAAAAGUUAGCUACACUGAACAGUUUCUUUUUUUACAUGAGUAUAUAUACCUGAAACCCAUUGCACAUCAUAAGAAUUUUAUUUUAUUUUGGACAGUGCUCUUGUUGUAAAGUAUUAUGUGUAAUGCAUGUGAGUUGUGGACAGGGGUUUGUAGUCAUCUGAGAACAAGGAUUGGCACGUUGGGUGGACUUAGAGAAAUCUUCAUAUGCUAAACCCAGUUUUAGAAGAAACGAAGAAAGCAAACACUAGAUCAGUUCCAACUAAUAGAGCUGUCAAUCAGGAUAAGCAAUAAAACAUGCAGGCAACAACUUUAAGGGGAAAUACUCGCUAAAUGCGAGUUUAAAAUUGAAAUUGCGAGUAAAAAAUCACAAGUGAUCACAACUUUUUGCGAGUGAAAAAAAAACACGAUCUUUUUUCCAGAUUUUCGAGGUUUAUUGGCUGUACUUUGAAGUUUACAAUAAUUUUGUCUUGUGCAUAGAAACGCUUUACAGAAUGAAUAUACAAGUAUUGAAAAAGUAAACGUGGAUCGAAUAAAUAACUAAGGCCAAGGUCAUCUCAGUCAGUCCUACUUCAAGCACACUUCGGGCGUCUCAGUGACGUCUGAUUUAAAUAGCAAGCAUGUUGAUUUCGUCCAUGUCUUCAUGAAACAACACAUGACUGAGUUAGUGUCAUCGUUUCACUCUAUAGCCCAAAACUUCGAGUUCGCGGGGGGUUUUUUCCACUAGAAUUUUUUAGAUGAAAUUUCCAAAAGUUUUGAACAUAUUGUUUAAAUUGGCGCAAACAGUCUCCAAGAUUUCAAACCACAUGAUGUUGUAAAUAGGUAGUAGAUCUCUGGACAGCGAGUACACCGCACAAGUGUACCCUAUGACCCUCACCAUGCACCAUGCUUGUUGCCUGAUAAUUCAUUAAAUUUUAAAUGAAAGAAUUCUCAAUCUUAUUUUCAUUAUUGCACUUUAAAGAAGAUAUUAAAAGAUUUCCCCUAUAUUUUGAUAUAAAGACAUGUUUGUUUUCUUAAAUUCCUGUAAAACAGCAAUCGAUUGAAAAAUGCUAGUAAAAGCUUAAUUUUGCUAGUUGGAAAAUAAUCCACUAGCUAAAAUUUGCUAGUAGUGAAAAAAGUUAAUUUCGAUCCCUGACAUGUUGACCAAAUUGGCACUCAGCUGUAAUAAAACAUUGUAUGUAGGGAACAUGUACUAGAAGGAAAGAGCGUUUAUGUAUACAUUUAGUUUUUAUGUAAUAUUCAUUAAUUAUUAUUAUAUGAUUGAUAUUAAAUAUGUAAAUACUUA
This is an RNA transcript of Ostrea edulis (European flat oyster), 2277 nucleotides long. RefSeq lists it as uncharacterized. The record is from RefSeq and is a predicted model, not a curated record. NCBI's taxonomy places the organism in Eukaryota, Metazoa, Mollusca, Bivalvia, Ostreida, Ostreidae. The transcript has 4 exons.